Molecule: small RNA, 69 nt
Rfam family: Bacillaceae-1 RNA
Source: Rfam
CAUGAAUGACCAUCUGUUAAAAUCGCGCACGUCAUGACGAGCAACACAGAAGUCAGCACAUCCUGUGCA